GGCAAGGUGGCCGAGCGGUCCAAGGCGCCACGUUAAGGUUUAUCCCUUAAUCUCCAUCCUUCUCAGGAUUCCGUGGUCUCGAAAGGGGCGUGAGUUCGAAUCUCACCCUUGUCA
Molecule: transfer RNA, 114 nt
Filed under: Thermochaetoides thermophila DSM 1495
Lineage: Eukaryota; Fungi; Ascomycota; Sordariomycetes; Sordariales; Chaetomiaceae
Description: Chaetomium thermophilum var. thermophilum DSM 1495 tRNA
Rfam family: tRNA
About the family: Transfer RNA (tRNA) molecules are approximately 80 nucleotides in length. Their secondary structure includes four short double-helical elements and three loops (D, anti-codon, and T loops).
Source: Rfam by way of RNAcentral